Molecule: ribosomal RNA, 505 nt
Filed under: uncultured bacterium
Lineage: Bacteria
Description: partial 16S ribosomal RNA
Rfam family: Bacterial small subunit ribosomal RNA
Source: RNAcentral
GACGAACGCUGGCGGCGUGCCUAAUACAUGCAAGUAGAACGCACAGUUUAUACCGUAGCUUGCUACACCAUAAACUGUGAGUUGCGAACGGGUGAGUAACGCGUAGGUAACCUGCCUGGUAGCGGGGGAUAACUAUUGGAAACGAUAGCUAAUACCGCAUAAUAUUAAUUAUUGCAUGAUAAUUGAUUGAAAGAUGCAAUGGCAUCACUACCAGAUGGACCUGCGUUGUAUUAGCUAGUAGGUGAGGUAACGGCUCACCUAGGCGACGAUACAUAGCAGACCUGAGAGGGUGAUCGGCCGCCCUGGGACUGUGACCCGGCCCAGACUCCUACGGGAGGCAGCAGUAGGGCAUCUUCGGCAAUGGACGAAAGUCUGACCGAGCAACGCCGCGUGAGUGAAGAAGGUUUUCGGAUCGUAAAGCUCUGUUGUAAGAGAAGAACGGGUGUGAGAGUGGAAAGUUCACACUGUGACGGUAUCUUACCAGAAAGGGACGGCUAACUACGUG